RNAcentral lists this transfer RNA (26 nucleotides) under Dendrobium devonianum. Its description in RNAcentral is "partial tRNA-His". RNAcentral also lists the same sequence under 3 other names. The record is from RNAcentral. Lineage: Eukaryota; Viridiplantae; Streptophyta; Magnoliopsida; Asparagales; Orchidaceae.
GCGGAUGUAGCCAAGUGGAUCAAGGC